Molecule: ribosomal RNA, 246 nt
Filed under: Triticum aestivum (bread wheat)
Lineage: Eukaryota; Viridiplantae; Streptophyta; Magnoliopsida; Poales; Poaceae
Description: partial small subunit ribosomal RNA
Source: RNAcentral
UUGACAAUCCCGCCUCAACAAAUGCCUAUAGGAUCCGAUAAUGACACAAUUGAGGAUGUUGAUGAAACGAGAAUGUCCUCUGCUAUACCUAGCGAUGUUGAUCCAUUAGACUUUGUCUACACAAACAUCCCAGACACCACUCACGUCCUGAAACUAGACGCAAACUGCAAACACUGCAAAGCCAAAAAGUUUGUAUCUGAUACUGAUGGGUUCCGCUGUCGCAAUGGACAGAUCGAACUUAAACAA